GGGGAAUAUUGCGCAAUGGGCGAAAGCCUGACGCAGCGACGCCUCGUGAGGGAUGAAGGUCUUCGGAUCGUAAACCUCUGUCAAGAGGGAAGAAACCUUUGGAUUCAAACAGGGUCUAAAGCUGACGGUACCUCAAAAGGAAGCACCGGCUAACUCCGUGCCAGCAGCCGCGGUAAUACGGAGGGUGCAGGCGUUAAUCGGAAUCACUGGGCGUAAAGCGCUCGUAGGCUGUUUGGUAAGUCAGACGUGAAAGCCCACGGCUUAACCGUGGAACUGCGUUUGAUACUGCCAGACUUGAGUGUCGGAGAGGGUGGCGGAAUUCCGGGUGUAGGAGUGAAAUCCGUAGAUAUCCGGAGGAACACCAGUGGCGAAGGCGGCCACCUGGACGACAACUGACGCUGAGGAGCGAAAGCGUGGGUAGCAAAC
Molecule: ribosomal RNA, 426 nt
Filed under: uncultured bacterium
Lineage: Bacteria
Description: bacterial SSU rRNA
Rfam family: Bacterial small subunit ribosomal RNA
Source: RNAcentral